This is a non-coding RNA of Flavobacterium frigoris PS1, 79 nucleotides long. NCBI's taxonomy places the organism in Bacteria, Pseudomonadati, Bacteroidota, Flavobacteriia, Flavobacteriales, Flavobacteriaceae. The record is from Rfam.
CCCUAGCCCUGAUAGCAGCGAAAUCCUUCUUGUUUUUUCUUUAAAAACAAGAAGAUUAAAGCGGAUAGCAGGAAUUAGC